GAUGAACGCUGGCGGCGUGCCUAAUACAUGCAAGUCGAGCGAACAGACGAGGAGCUUGCUCCUCUGACGUUAGCGGCGGACGGGUGAGUAACACGUGGAUAACCUACCUAUAAGACUGGGAUAACUUCGGGAAACCGGAGCUAAUACCGGAUAAUAUAUUGAACCGCAUGGUUCAAUAGUGAAAGACGGUUUUGCUGUCACUUAUAGAUGGAUCCGCGCCGCAUUAGCUAGUUGGUAAGGUAACGGCUUACCAAGGCAACGAUGCGUAGCCGACCUGAGAGGGUGAUCGGCCACGCUGGAACUGAGACACGGUCCAGACUCCUACGGGAGGCAGCAGUAGGGAAUCUUCCGCAAUGGGCGAAAGCUUGACGGAGCAACGCCGCGUGAGUGAUGAAGGUCUUCGGAUCGUAAAACUCUGUUAUUAGGGAAGAACAAAUGUGUAAGUAACUAUGCACGUCUGGACGGUACCUAAUCAGAAAGCCACGGCUAACUACGU
Molecule: ribosomal RNA, 496 nt
Filed under: uncultured bacterium
Lineage: Bacteria
Description: partial 16S ribosomal RNA
Rfam family: Bacterial small subunit ribosomal RNA
Source: RNAcentral